UACGUAGGGGGCUAGCGUUGUCCGGAUUUACUGGGCGUAAAGGGUGAGUAGGCGGUUAUAUAUGUCAGGUGUAAAAAGCUAUGGCUUAACCAUAGUAAGCACUUGAAACUGUAUGACUUGAGUGCAGGAGAGGUAAGCGGAAUUCCUAGUGUAGCGGUGAAAUGCGUAGAUAUUAGGAGGAACACCGGUGGCGAAGGCGGCUUACUGGACUGUAACUGACGCUGAGUCACGAAAGCGUGGGUAGCAAACAGGAUUAGAUACCCUGGUAGUCCCU
This 274-nucleotide ribosomal RNA is filed under the name uncultured prokaryote. RNAcentral describes it as "partial 16S ribosomal RNA". It matches the Rfam family "Bacterial small subunit ribosomal RNA", at positions 524 to 798 of the family's 1533-position model. The record is from RNAcentral.